RNAcentral lists this ribosomal RNA (451 nucleotides) under uncultured bacterium. Its description in RNAcentral is "partial 16S ribosomal RNA". It matches the Rfam family "Bacterial small subunit ribosomal RNA", at positions 29 to 523 of the family's 1533-position model. The record is from RNAcentral.
AGCGAACGCUGGCGGCAGGCCUAACACAUGUAAGUCGAGCGGCCGUAGCAAUACGGCAGCGGCAGACGGGAGAGUAACACGUGGGAACGCGCCCUUCGGUUCGGGAUAACUCAGGGAAACUUGAGCUAAUACCGGAUACGCCCUUACGGGGAAAGAUUUAUUGCCGAAGGAACGGCCCGCGUCCGAUUAGCUUGUUGGUGAGGUAACGGCUCACCAAGGCGACGAUCGGUAGCUGGUCUGAGAGGAUGACCAGCCUCACUGGGACUGAGACACGGCCCAGACUCCUACGGGAGGCAGCAGUGGGGAAUAUUGGACAAUGGGCGCAAGCCUGAUCCAGCCAUGCCGCGUGGGUGAUGAAGGCCCUAGGGUUGUAAAGCCCUUUCAGCGGGGAAGAUAAUGACGGUACCCGCAGAAGAAGCCCCGGCUAACUUCGUGCCAGCCGCCGCUGUAA